UGCCAUUGGCACUCCAACCUGGGCAACAAGAGCAAAACUCCGUCUCAAAAAAAAAAAAAAAAAAAAGGGGCGGAGGUCAGCAUGGCAGCUGCGUUGGCUCGGCUUGGUCUGCGGCCUGUCAAAGAGGUUCGGGUUCAAUUCUGUCGCUUCGAGAAAAACGUGGAACCGACGAGGACCUUCCUCCAGGCGGUGAGCAGUGAGAAGGUCCGCUCCACUAAUCUCAACUGCUCAGUGAUUGCGGACGUGAGGCAUGACGGCUCCGAGCCCUGCGUGGACGUGCUGUUCGGAGACGGGCAUCGCCUGAUUAUGCGCGGCGCUCAUCUCACCGCUCUGGAAAUGCUCACCGCCUUCGCCUCCCACAUCCGGGCCAGGGAUGCGGCGGGCAGCGGGGACAAGCCGGGCGCUGAUACUGGUCGCUGACAGCGCCAAAGAGACCAACAAGACGAUUUUAGCGUGGACUAGGACACUUAACCUAAGAAGAGUUUCACUUAAUCAUUCAACUCACUAUCUGGAGGGCCACGGAGCGCAAAAUAAAGUUUAAAACCCUACUAAAAAAAAAAAAAA
This is an RNA transcript of Nomascus leucogenys (northern white-cheeked gibbon), 564 nucleotides long. It is a transcript of the gene named 39S ribosomal protein L53, mitochondrial pseudogene, with no coding region annotated. The transcript has a single exon. Lineage: Eukaryota; Metazoa; Chordata; Mammalia; Primates; Hylobatidae. The record is from RefSeq and is a predicted model, not a curated record.